AGGACGAACGCUGGCGGCGUGCUUAACACAUGCAAGUCGAGCGGUAAGGCUCCUUCGGGAGUACACGAGCGGCGAACGGGUGAGUAACACGUGAGCAAUCUGCCCUUCACACAGGGAUAAACUCCGGGAAACUGGUGCUAAUACCUGAUACGACCACUUCAGGCAUCUGAUGGUGGUGGAAAGUUCCGGCGGUGAAGGAUGAGCUCGCGGCCUAUCAGCUUGUUGGUGGGGUAAUGGCCCACCAAGGCAACGACGGAUAGCCGGCCUGAGAGGGUGACCGGCCACACUGGGACUGAGACACGGCCCAGACUCCUACGGGAGGCAGCAGUGGGGAAUAUUGCGCAAUGGGCGGAAGCCUGACGCAGCGACGCCGCGUGGGGGAUGACGGCCUUCGGGUUGUAAACCUCUUUCGUCAUCGACGAAGCCCUCGGGUGACGGUAGGUGGAGAAGAGCACCGGCCAACGUACGUGCCAGCAGCCGC
RNAcentral lists this ribosomal RNA (481 nucleotides) under uncultured bacterium. RNAcentral's name for it is "SSU rRNA". It matches the Rfam family "Bacterial small subunit ribosomal RNA", at positions 26 to 518 of the family's 1533-position model. The record is from RNAcentral.